Molecule: ribosomal RNA, 427 nt
Filed under: uncultured bacterium
Lineage: Bacteria
Description: bacterial SSU rRNA
Rfam family: Bacterial small subunit ribosomal RNA
Source: RNAcentral
UAAGGAAUAUUGGACAAUGCCCGCAAGGGUGAUCCAGCCAUGCCGCGUGCAGGAUGAAGGCCUUCGGGUUGUAAACUGCUUUUGUACGGAACGAAAAGGCUCUGGUUAAUACCUGGGGCUCAUGACGGUACCGUAAGAAUAAGCACCGGCUAACUACGUGCCAGCAGCCGCGGUAAUACGUAGGGUGCAAGCGUUAAUCGGAAUUACUUGGCGUAAAGCGUGCGCAGGCGGUUAUGUAAGACAGAUGUGAAAUCCCCGGGCUCAACCUGGGACCUGCAUUUGUGACUGCAUAGCUAGAGUACGGCAGAGGGGGAUGGAAUUCCGCGUGUAGCAGUGAAAUGCGUAGAUAUGCGGAGGAACACCGAUGGCGAAGGCAAUCCCCUGGGCCUGUACUGACGCUCAUGCACGAAAGCGUGGGGAGCAAACA